This is a long non-coding RNA of Chenopodium quinoa (quinoa), 1783 nucleotides long. RefSeq lists it as uncharacterized. The record is from RefSeq and is a predicted model, not a curated record. The transcript is spliced from 3 exons. NCBI's taxonomy places the organism in Eukaryota, Viridiplantae, Streptophyta, Magnoliopsida, Caryophyllales, Amaranthaceae.
CUUGAUGAUAUGUAUGAGACGCGUAGGGUAGAUGUGCGUAAGGGUAGAGAUGGUAGAUUUGUUAGUAGAUCUGGCACAUCUUCUGCGUCCACUGUGUCUGCGGUAAGCAAAAAACGGCCGAGGGCCGUUAAUGAAUCUUGGGUAGUGAGGGGUGAGGUGGCUGGGGACCUGUAGACGGGAGUGUGAUUCCUAGCUUUCUAGGACACAUCGCUACCCGUAUCUGGGAGGACCUGGAGAGGGCUUUGGAUACAAGCAUUUUGAAAUGCCAAACCCGGAAAAAGACUUGUAACUUUUUGUGUAGUUGGGUUGAUGCUUGGCCGGAGGAGAGCGAGAUGGUUGGCCUAUUGAGGGGCACUAGAGUGAGUCACCUUCCUGCCACCAUGCACGAAAGGAUUGACUCGACGCUGAUCACGGCUUUCGUUGAGCGAUGGCAGCCGGAUACGAACUCUUUCCACCUUCUGCUCGGUGAGAUGACAAUCAUGUUGCAUGACGUCGAGGCCAUCCUUGGGAUUCCCGUAGAGGGAAACCGAGCAUCUGUUGUCACUGAUGCGGAUCAGGCAGAUUUACUAGCGGAGAUGUUGGCGGUGGAUAGGGCUGCGCUGUACACAGCGGCACUUGGUGUGUGGGAUCACGACGGUGUUAAGAUCGUAGCCGUUUUGCAGCGAUGUUUGCACCCGGCCCACUGCACGUAGGACGCAGGACACACAACUGGCUGCAUUUGUUUUUCUUCUUCUCGGGUGUACCUUGUUUCCGGAUAAGAGCGGAAACAAGCUCAGGCCACGCGACAUAGUUGACGCGUGUGAGCCCGACAGAGUAGGCCAGUUUUAUUGGGGGUCGCUACGUUGGCGUAUAUGUAUCGGCAAUUAGGAUUCUCAAGUCGGACUGAUGCGGCAGGUAUCACUGGAUGUCUGACGUUGUUACAGACCUGGAUAUACGAGUAUUUUCCUGCAUUUCGACCACACCGCAACCCAGUUCCUAUUGGGGAUGGCCAGCCACGUCCCUGUGCGUGGAGUCCGCGAGUCGAGAAGAAGUCCAUUGACCGCCUGCGAUCGAUACGGUUAUCGUUUGAUAGGAUGUCCCCAUUAGAGGUGAACUGGAUGCCUUUCGGCCAAAACCCUAGUAAUAGGGUACCUAGGACCCUGUACACAGGACUGAUUCAGUAUCGUGAGAUCGUAGAGGCGUACAUGCCGCAGCGCUGUCUUCGCCAGCUUGGAUUUGUCCAAGUUGUUCCUCCUCCACCAGCAUGGCCUAGUAAGGAGGUCCGAUUUGCAUCGUCGAAGGAGUACGUCGUCCAAUGGCCGGAAAGCAUGAUUGCCACGUGGGAGCAGUUUUCGAUGGUUGCCCGCAUAUGGAUUGAGCAGCUGCUGCGGCCGCUAACUAGGGUGACUGCCAUGUGUGACUAGCACUACAUGGAGUGGUACAACCGACACUCGCACCCGAGGUUGAUCAGAGACCUCCACCAUGGCGACGACGCCGAUGAUGAUGAUGUGCCACCGGCCACUACCGUGGAUGCGUGGAUGAGAAAGAUGAUGCAGGUGGCACACAUAAUUUUUGAAAAAAAGAGACGGAUGCAUUAGGCAGAACCACGAUUGAUGAUAUGGAACGGGCUCUUGAGCAGUGGCAGUGGGCGUCACAAAGGGAUUACUAAAUGAACAUUUUGUACAGUAUCAUAGUUGUUUGUAAAAGUUGACAUUAUCUUUUUAGUUUGUAACAUUUGAAAUUUUUAUUUUAAGUUUUUAGAAUUUGACAUUAUCUUUUUAGUUUUUAAAAUUAUUAUUUUAAG